This 500-nucleotide ribosomal RNA is filed under the name Bacillus subtilis. Its description in RNAcentral is "bacterial SSU rRNA". It matches the Rfam family "Bacterial small subunit ribosomal RNA", at positions 1 to 488 of the family's 1533-position model. The record is from RNAcentral. Lineage: Bacteria; Bacillati; Bacillota; Bacilli; Caryophanales; Bacillaceae.
GAGGAGUUUGAUCCUGGCUCAGGACGAACGCUGGCGGCGUGCCUAAUACAUGCAAGUCGAGCGGACAGAUGGGAGCUUGCUCCCUGAUGUUAGCGGCGGACGGGUGAGUAACACGUGGGUAACCUGCCUGUAAGACUGGGAUAACUCCGGGAAACCGGGGCUAAUACCGGAUGGUUGUUUGAACCGCAUGGUUCAAACAUAAAAGGUGGCUUCGGCUACCACUUACAGAUGGACCCGCGGCGCAUUAGCUAGUUGGUGAGGUAACGGCUCACCAAGGCAACGAUGCGUAGCCGACCUGAGAGGGUGAUCGGCCACACUGGGACUGAGACACGGCCCAGACUCCUACGGGAGGCAGCAGUAGGGAAUCUUCCGCAAUGGACGAAAGUCUGACGGAGCAACGCCGCGUGAGUGAUGAAGGUUUUCGGAUCGUAAAGCUCUGUUGUUAGGGAAGAACAAGUACCGUUCGAAUAGGGCGGUACCUUGACGGUACCUAACCAGAA